UUAAGGUAUCUCCAUAUUGCUUGCGCCCGAUCUCGUCUGAUCUCGGAAGCUAAGCAGGGUCGGGCCUGGUUAGUACUUGGAUGGGAGAUUUCUAGAAUUUUUUUAAC
This 107-nucleotide ribosomal RNA is filed under the name Microcebus murinus (gray mouse lemur). The record is from RNAcentral. Lineage: Eukaryota; Metazoa; Chordata; Mammalia; Primates; Cheirogaleidae.